AGCAACCUCAGCGUAAGUCUCUGACACUGUUAGGUGGAGGGUGGAAAAAAAAAUUCCCACCCACUCGUGCACACCUCAUUUCGUCGUACUUGAGGGGAGUUUAUACUGCAGAGAGGAAAAGAAGACAACGAUGAAAAUGUCACUGGUGCAAUCAGCAUUAAUGCUACUCACUGUUUACGUUGCAGCAGCGGCUCAGUGUUCCGCCAUUCUGAAUGAAUCCCAAGCAAGAGUGGACGUUCUCGUGGGGUCCUCCCUCACUUUGUGCCACCGACUGAAGAGCUGGACAUCAAAGAGAUUCAGAAUUUGCUGGCAUUUUAAUCCAUCGAGACCCUCGUUGGUCCACUCUGAGCUACUCUUUUGCUCCAACAUGUCAAACAAAACCGAGCAAAAAGAGAUAUCGCUGAACUAUACUUUAGCCAAUGUCACUCAGCAAGACAGCGGAUGGUACUUUUGCCGCAUCCAUGUGGACAUUCCGGAACUGAGGACUCUGGACAGUAGUGGAACACAAGUGGUUGUUCAUCAAGUGGAGGUGGCUCGGGCAUUAUGUCAAGGUGCCACCUGGAUACUUCCCUGGUGAGGUGUUCCAGGCAUGUCCCACUGGGAAGAAUUCCGAGGAUGAGCCAGGACAUGCUGGAGAGACUAUGUUUCCCAGCUGGCUUGGGAACGCCUCGAGGUCCUCCAGGAGGAGCUGGACAAUGUGGCUCGGGAGGGGGGAGUCUGGGCUUCCCUGCUUAAGCUGCUGCCACUGAGACCUGACCUCAGAUAAGUGGAGGAGAAUGGAUUGGAUGGAUGGAUAUUACAAGCUUUUCUUUUUUUGGCUUUGGGCGUUGCACUGUACAGUGUCAUUCAAAAGCUAGGAAAAAGACUCAAAUUCCCGUGUUUUUGCAUGAUUUAAAAAAAAAACUCUAGAAUUUUAGAUAAAUAGUCAAGUCGGUGACAUAUUGAACUAUUGAAAGACUUAUAUUUGGUUUAAAAAAAUGUUAAUCAAAAUAUGUUUUUAUGAUUUUGAUUCUCCAAGUCGGACCCGUUGCCUAGACAACAGCAUUGCACAUCUUCUGCUAUUCUCAGUCAACUUUGUGAUGUGGAUGUUCCUUUAUGACCUGCAAUGACUUUCAGUUCACGGCUAUGCAUUAUCAAGAGUUAAUAGUUUGAUUUUCUUGGCCUCUUAAUUUGUUUGAGACCAUUUCAAUACAAAGGCGUUUCCAAACUUUUGUCUUGUACUGUAUAAGUACAAAGCACUUCAAUCUAGCCAUAUAUUUCUUGCAGAGGGUGUUUCUGUGCCUCCCGGAGAUGUGCCCCUGCUGGAGACAUGGUGGCUGUGGGUCACUGUUGGAGUGCUCGGCUUCAUCAUACUGGCCCUGCUGAUUCUGUGUGUGCUUCUAAUCCGACGAUGUAGACGCAAAGAACCACACUGUGCAAUCUAUGUGAACACUCAUCAUUCCUCACGACCACCUGUUGUCAGGGACCAGCUCAGCGUGGCCCCCAGGUGACAAGUGGCUCGCACUCCAAGUCCUGCUAGGGACAAGCAGAGCAGCAGCAAACAGAGGCCCAGACAGUAGCCAAGAUAGAGCCCACAAAUUCCACACGUUUCUUUCCGAUGUUAUUUAUAUUUAAUGCAGAGUUGUCAUUCCAACGUGGCAAUCAAUGUGUAAUGUCUUCUAAUUAUUUUUAAGAAUUGUUUUCUGAGUCAGGAAAUAACCAGCUUGUUUCCAGCCUGACACAGACACUCGCGAUAGACUCAGCCAUUUUUCACACUGAAAGUCACUCCUGCUAAAGGGUUCUUUAACUUCAACUACCAUUGUGCAAGUGCUAUAGAACUCCAUCCAAAAUUCUGUUUCUUAUGGACGUUUAAGAUGCAUGGUUUUGGAAUGCCAGAGGACGCCUGAGCACUCGCAAUGCAAAUCCACAGCACAAAACCUGUGAGGGAGAUAGCGGUAUGAUAACCACUUCUGCCGGAUAGAUGUCUAGGUACUGUAUAUAAGGCAAAUUGAGACGACUGUUCAGUUGAAACCUUCCAUUACAUCUUCUUUUCCAUUCAAUGUUUUGUUUAUUUGUUUUCCAGUAUGACAUUCACAGUCUUAACCCAAAUGCACAGGCACUAUAUACAUUGUUACAUAUGCAGUAAAUAACAUAUACAUUGUACUGAAAUUGAAGCUCAAAUUUCACCAGAGGCCACAAGAGCUGGACGAAACAAAUCUUUGUAAAGCCCACCUGGAAUCUGCAGACGGCAAAACAUGGAAAAUCGCAAACAAGGUCUGGUCCAGCGUUGUUUACUAACUUAGUUCAGUGAGUCCAAGUGACGAUUCAUCACAUGCAAAACACAUGAUUGAUAUUCCGAAAGCAAAUCUCCAGUCAGAUGUCUUAAGACUCGAUGAUACAGUAGAUAAGGCACAUGCGCUUCACCGUCAAAAGUGUCGCUCUUUCAACAAUAUCGGGAGAUGGGGUUCUCAAAGCAAAAUUUGUUGUUUAUUAAUAUGGCAAUCUUAUACACACACACCAAAAAAAAUUGCAAUUUUUAACUUGUCACAAUAGGAAUAUACAAAAAAAAAAACAA
This is an RNA transcript of Hippocampus zosterae (dwarf seahorse), 2554 nucleotides long. RefSeq lists it as uncharacterized. The transcript is spliced from 4 exons. The record is from RefSeq and is a predicted model, not a curated record. NCBI's taxonomy places the organism in Eukaryota, Metazoa, Chordata, Actinopteri, Syngnathiformes, Syngnathidae.